AACAUAGUAUGGUGAGCCCCCAUGCCAAAUACUACCUGCCCACUGCCCACAAGUCAAGGGCCGUACCUAUCCUACGCUAAGGUAGCAUAUAAUAUGCCUCCUAAUUAGAGGACAGAAUGAAUGGAAAACCAAAACAUAUAAAUAUCUCACGCACACAAAAUAAAAUUUAUAACGAGGUGAAAAAGCCUCACUAAACUUAAAAGACAAAAAGUCCCUAAAAGCUAAACACGUAAAAGCCCUGCCCCCACGGAAUUUGUUGGGACAACUCACCAAUAACAAAUACAAAGAACAGCUAUCACAGCUCCCACCCCCAACAUAACUCCAAAAGCUACUUUAGGGAUAACAGGCUAAUAGAAUUUUUAGAGCCCACAUCUACAAAUUUGUUUGGCACCUCGAUGUUGGCUUCGGAUUAUAUCUUAUUGUAGAAAAUAAGACAAUGGGUUUGUUCAACCCUUAAUAUCCUACAUGAUCUG
Molecule: ribosomal RNA, 473 nt
Filed under: Salvatoria kerguelensis
Lineage: Eukaryota; Metazoa; Annelida; Polychaeta; Phyllodocida; Syllidae
Description: partial 16S ribosomal RNA
Rfam family: Bacterial large subunit ribosomal RNA
Source: RNAcentral